GCUGGCGGCAGGCCUAACACAUGCAAGUCGAGCGGUAGCACAGAGAGCUUGCUCUCGGGUGACGAGCGGCGGACGGGUGAGUAAUGUCUGGGAAACUGCCUGAUGGAGGGGGAUAACUACUGGAAACGGUAGCUAAUACCGCAUAACGUCGCAAGACCAAAGAGGGGGACCUUCGGGCCUCUUGCCAUCAGAUGUGCCCAGAUGGGAUUAGCUAGUAGGUGGGGUAACGGCUCACCUAGGCGACGAUCCCUAGCUGGUCUGAGAGGAUGACCAGCCACACUGGAACUGAGACACGGUCCAGACUCCUACGGGAGGCAGCAGUGGGGAAUAUUGCACAAUGGGCGCAAGCCUGAUGCAGCCAUGCCGCGUGUAUGAAGAAGGCCUUCGGGUUGUAAAGUACUUUCAGCGAGGAGGAAGGUGUUGAGGUUAAUAACCUCAGCAAUUGACGUUACUCGCAGAAGAAGCACCGGCUAACUCCGUGCCAGCAGCCGUGGUAAUACGGAGGGUGCAAGCGUUAAUCGGAAUUACUGGGCGUAAAGCGCACGCAGGCGGUCUGUCAAGUCGGAUGUGAAAUCCCCGGGCUCAACCUGGGAACUGCAUUCGAAACUGGCAGGCUAGAGUCUUGUAGAGGGGGGUAGAAUUCCAGGUGUAGCGGUGAAAUGCGUAGAGAUCUGGAGGAAUACCGGUGGCGAAGGCGGCCCCCUGGACAAAGACUGACGCUCAGGUGCGAAAGCGUGGGGAGCAAACAGGAUUAGAUACCCUGGUAGUCCACGCCGUAAACGAUGUCGACUUGGAGGUUGUUCCCUUGAGGAGUGGCUUCCGGAGCUAACGCGUUAAGUCGACCGCCUGGGGAGUACGGCCGCAAGGUUAAAACUCAAAUGAAUUGACGGGGGCCCGCACAAGCGGUGGAGCAUGUGGUUUAAUUCGAUGCAACGCGAAGAACCUUACCUACUCUUGACAUCCAGAGAACUUAGCAGAGAUGCUUUGGUGCCUUCGGGAACUCUGAGACAGGUGCUGCAUGGCUGUCGUCAGCUCGUGUUGUGAAAUGUUGGGUUAAGUCCCGCAACGAGCGCAACCCUUAUCCUUUGUUGCCAGCGGUUAGGCCGGGAACUCAAAGGAGACUGCCAGUGAUAAACUGGAGGAAGGUGGGGAUGACGUCAAGUCAUCAUGGCCCUUACGAGUAGGGCUACACACGUGCUACAAUGGCAUAUACAAAGAGAAGCGACCUCGCGAGAGCAAGCGGACCUCAUAAAGUAUGUCGUAGUCCGGAUUGGAGUCUGCAACUCGACUCCAUGAAGUCGGAAUCGCUAGUAAUCGUAGAUCAGAAUGCUACGGUGAAUACGUUCCCGGGCCU
RNAcentral lists this ribosomal RNA (1354 nucleotides) under uncultured bacterium. RNAcentral's name for it is "bacterial SSU rRNA". It matches the Rfam family "Bacterial small subunit ribosomal RNA", at positions 35 to 1381 of the family's 1533-position model. The record is from RNAcentral.